This is a long non-coding RNA of Penaeus monodon (black tiger shrimp), 432 nucleotides long. RefSeq lists it as uncharacterized. The transcript is spliced from 2 exons. NCBI's taxonomy places the organism in Eukaryota, Metazoa, Arthropoda, Malacostraca, Decapoda, Penaeidae. The record is from RefSeq and is a predicted model, not a curated record.
GCGUAUGUAUGUACGAGGUGUGAUGAGCGCGCGUAAGAGGUGACGAGGAGGUUGAAAGGAAAAAGGACCUGGAUAGCUGAACUGGUGGCGUUUGUGAGAGGUCACAGUAGCAAUAGCAGCAAUAGCAACAUAUUUCCUGUCAUCUGUAAACUGACUACCCCUAAAGGCGGUGAAUGUGUGGCAGACACAUGAGUUGGUGCCUUGCAACAUCAUGUCAGUGGCAGGGACAUUGAAGUCAACGGUCGCGUAGAAGAUCGGAUAAGAGCAAAUAAGGAAGUGAAGAAGUAAAGUGUAGUGAAGUGGACUAGUAACGUGACUGUAAAGUGUAAGAAAAAAAAGGAAACUGUAAAUGCAAUGUUAACUGUAUUUUUUUUAUUUUUAUGUAUGGUUUAACUAGAUAUGCUGAUCGGAAAAAUAAAAUGUUUAAAGGUU